Molecule: long non-coding RNA, 8066 nt
Filed under: Zostera marina
Lineage: Eukaryota; Viridiplantae; Streptophyta; Magnoliopsida; Alismatales; Zosteraceae
Description: long non-coding RNA (ZMAR_LNC002095)
Source: RNAcentral
UGGUAAGUCUGUUGUAUUUUGCUACAUUUUAGACAUUCAUGAAAUACUUACCUCUUUUGGUGUGACUGUGUGAUAGCUCUUUGAUCCAUGAUUUCAUCAUUUGGAGGGAUAUGGUGGACAAAAAGAAGUGGAUUAAAUGAAGUAUAAAUCAAAGUAGUGACCUCACUUGGUAGUGAAAUGGAUUGCCUUCAUUCAACUGGAUAUGAGAGUUGUCAGUCAUUAGGAGAAAUUGAGAAAAACACCUGUCCGAUAGUCUGGUAAAAAAUAUCUGGGCCAAUAAGGUCCAUAUUUUUAACAUUUGCCUUUGGAGAGUUAAAUGGGGGAAGCUACCUAUAAAGAAAUACACAAAAAAGUGGUAUACGAAUCAAUAAUUGUGUCCUUUAUGGUGAGGAAGAGAACAUAAAUCACCUUUUUUUCAAUUGUUCUUACUCCCAAGAAUUAUAUAGAGCAUGUACUCAUGGAAUGGAGAAUUAGAUCCCAACAAGAUGUUCAAUCUGGAAGGGAUAAGAGUACCUCAGUCAAUAGGUUCUUUAAUCAAGGAUUGAUUGGGGACCGAAUUUCUAGAAAAUGUCAAGGUAUUGAACCCGAAGAAUGGAGUUUCGGGCUUCACUGCUUGUAGAAUACAUGAUUGAGAUCAGAUUGAGGAACAAGAAAGUCAAUAGGUAUUAUAGUUGGGCUUCGAGGCGGGACCAGGUUGGAAAUCGAGUCUCUGAAAGAUUGGAGGUCCUAUUGAGCUAACUACUUAGUGAUAUUAUAUUGAGCUAAUUACUUAUUUAGUUAUGUGUUUGUAAUAAGUUAGAGACCGUUAGCACAUUAGAAUAAUAAUAAUCGUAAUGUGGUUAAACCUAAACUUGUAUAAAUAUGCCUAUCAAUGCUAUUAAGAAAGGUUCCAAUAUUUGGAUAUCUUUCUUCACCCAUAUUAAGUUUUCACCUAUAUGGUAUGUAUCAGACGAUCUGAUGGGUGCCAACUCAUCAGAAUUAUUUCAAUAAUAAAUCAUUGUCUGUAUUUGAAAAUUCCCUUAUGCCAUGUUUUUGUUUUAAAUAUCGGGCCGUCAAAUUGACAGAACAGAUCAUUCAGCAUUCCGUUUUCCAAUGAAUAGAUAGAUUGCUUAGUUAUUAUCUACACCAUUCUAGGCGAUUCAUAUUGGGCACAUACUUGGCCAAGUCUAUUUGGUAGCUUAGGAACAAUUUAGGCAAUAGGUUUUUUUCAGCAUGUAAUUUUUAAAUUAUACAUACUUUUGUUUAAAUUUACAUAACAUGUUCAUGAAUAAGAUCAAAGCAUAAGGGUCAAGUAAGUUACUCGAUCACUCUUAUCACUUUAGUACUUAUGUUUUAAUGAAUGAUGGUUCAUUUUGUAAACCAUAAUAAAUCAUGGUAUAUUCAAAAGUCUCAAAUUUCAAUGAUUAAUGAUACCAAAAAUACAACCUUAGAAAUUUUAUUUAAACUUUGAUCUAUAUUUUGACACUAAAUUUUAGGUAUUCCAAGGACAAAUUCAGUAGGACAAGUUUCUGAUUUUGGAGAUCAGGUAGCAGAUGUGCUCACCAACUCUGAGGAAGCAAGAAGAGGCGAAUAUCCUGUUAUAAGAAGUCUUAUACGUGCUUUAGAAGUAAUUAAAUUUAUUUUAGUCUUCUAUUUAUCUAUGAAGAGGUGUAGUUCAGCUUAAUGGUUAAUAUGUAUUUAUUAAUCAUUUCAAUCCUGUGCAUUUUAGGGUGGAAUUGAAGGCAAAAAACAAGUCGACUUAGUCAUUGAUAAGUGUGCCACGAUGCAGGUAUUCUAUGGAUAUUUUAUGAAAAUUAUCAUUUUAUUUAGCUUCUAUAGAAGUUCUCCAUCUUACCACUAUCAAUUGUUAAAACCCAACUUGGUCUAAAAUAAUAAAAAGAAGCAAAGAUGAGAGCAUAAUUUGCAAUCUUCGGAUGAUUUCUUUUGUGUUUUACAGAACUUACGAGAAUCUAUUGUUACAUAUGGCAGUAGUAUUCUUCGCCAACCUGAUGAAAAGAAGAGAGAGGCUUCCCUCUGUGUCUUUUGCGAAUACUUGGAGAGGUACUAUUUCCUCAUUUGCUUUGCAGUUUAUAUACAUAACGAAAUACCUGCUUCCCAAAGUUCGCCAAACCAAGUCAGUUUUUCUGACUGGAUGAAAGCAAGGCCAGAACUUUACAGCAUACUACGGAGGUGCGUAUAAAUUUAGUUCCAUGAAAUCUUAAAUAUUUUAUUAUAUAGACAUUAUAAUGGUUAGAUAUGAAUAUAAUCUAGUUGAUUUUGGUUUUUUUUAUUUAACCUAUAAUAGUUGUUCACACAAUUCCAUCAAAUCUUGAAUUGGAAUGUCAAACAAGAAAUAUCAAGCACUAAUGGAAUUUCCAACAUUUUUUCUAAAUCAAAUGUGUUAUUUUUUUAAAGAAAAAAAUGUGUUAUUUCUAAUGAAAUGACACUGUCCAAAUAUCUAGUCAAAUCUCUUUGAUUCCAAAUAAGAUAUGAAGAACAAUAACUUGUCUCUAUUUAAUUGUUUACCUAAAAUAAAACCUAACUUUAGUUCACGAAGAUAUAAAGAAGUUUUAUGAUAAAUAAUAAAAUAGACGUUGUGUUUAGUUAAUUAGUUCAUAAUGCACAGAAGCAUCACAGGGAUAACUUGAGUGGGUAAUGAGGGUGCAAUUUGGGGUUGAGUCUAGGGCUCAUGAAGUGGAGUCAUUUAUGUUCUUUUAGGCACACUCAAUUCUUGUCUUUAGGAGUUUGAAGUUUGAGUCGAAGUAGUUUGGGAUUUGAAGUUUGGGGUUUGAAGUUUGUUUUCAUUUUUACAAUGUACACUAUCUCCGACUUCAAAGAGUUUGGGGUUUGGGUUUGUGGAGUGAAGUGGAAUAGUGGAUCCAAAGUAAUUUGUGGCUUCACGUGAUUGAUGAAGCAAAAUUUCACAUUUACUACACACUCUCUAUUCAUAUCUUCAGAAGGUUGGAGCUGAUCCCUAUUUAUAAGGGCUGGGAAGCAGUCAUGUCCUCCAUGGGUCGAGAAUUUCUCUUAAGUGGGUUUGGGACAGGUAGAAAAGAGGUUCUGACUGAUUACGCAUGGGUAAUAAACUCAAAUCUCGAGGUAGAAAUAGACGGACAAGUUCAGAUAUUUCAUAUUAUCUCAUCAUCUAUUAUCUCACAUGAUUCUAACCUUAUAAAAUUAUUUACUAUGAGUGAAACUAGAAGAGAUAGAAAAUGGGGGAAUCAAGUGAUCGACCCCUCUAAACAUAUAUUAGAUGUGUUUAUAUACACUUGAGUUUAAGAUUAGAUCUUAACUGAAUUCAGUUGAGAUCUAAUCUAUACUAACUAAUUACAAUUAGUAUUAUAAGGGCUAAAAUGUAAUUACAAACAAAUGAAAACAAAUAGCCUUAUUUAUUAUUACUAAUAUUUACAAUUCAUGUUAUUCAAUCCAGGGUUCUCCUAUAGUCCUAUCCUAGCAGAGUGCAUACUUAUGACUAUGCCAUAGAGGUGUAGUGGUCUGUGCCAACACCAUGUUAUAGUGCCACUAUAUAAUGGCCUAUAUCGGGUCUUUAAAAAAAAAUCUUGUACUCAUAAUACUCAAACUGAAAAAAGUACAGGAUAAUUGAUAACGUGCAUGUUUUUAUACAAUAACACUCUUUGAAAGAAAAGAACUUCUUCAAAGACAAGAGUGGUCAGGGAUUAUUCUUUUGCCGAAAGAAAUUCUAAGAAACUCUAAGAAGUCGCUGGCUGGAAUCUAAAAAUGAUACCAUUUCCAAAAGAAUUCGCUGGCUGGAGAAGUCACAGAUCAAAGAAGUCGAUCUGGACCCAAACCAUAUCUUCACUCUAAUGAAGGGUGGAUUAUUAAGUGGAUAUAGACCCAUAUCCACCCAAGAUCCUAAUAGGUUAUAGCAACAUAGGGUUAGGUCACUUCUAUGAUCUCUCCCACCACUCCAAGAAGUUAGUGUAAGUGUGCAACUAGAGAGUCAUUAUAUCAAAUAUACUAUGUUUAACCCCACUGUAUUGGGAUUCUAAUCGAUCUUCUAAUUAAACAAGGUGUGAUUCUCUCUGUACCCAUCCUUUCUUUGAAAUUUUCUUCAUUGAACACAACUUUGCAUCCCUUCUUGAUCCACUCUUAGAUCUUCUGCUAGCUCCUCUUCUUUUUCAUGUACUCUCCUUAUACCCUUCUUCUACUUCUAAACAUGUCAUUGUGAUCCCCAAGAGUGAUCAAUGAAGCCCCUAACAUGCAUUUUGCCACAUUUUAUAUUUUUCAUUUUUAUAAUUGCAGGAAAGGACAUGCUUACAUUAAUGUAUAAAAUAUCAGAUGCUCUCAGAUUUAUGUGUGUAUAUUGAAUAUGGUGAAUUUAUAAAUUACAAGUUUAUUCUAGGUUUAUGUAAGAUUUUAUAAAUCAAGGAUUUCCAUGUCAUAUCUGCAAUUCAAAAGUGACCAUCUACUUGCACAGAUUGCUCAGACGAGACCCUAUGGGUGCCUUGGGUUAUUCAAGCAUAAAAUAUUCUUUAACCAAAACUGAUCAUGGUCGACCAUGUGAGAUCGACAUUGUUGUUGCAACUAGAAAAGGAGAUGUUCUUGGAAAAAAAACUGUUUUAAAAAGCGACCACUUUCCUGGUUGUCAAGCCCUUUCUUUGCCAGAGAAGGUAGAAGGUGCACCCAAUUUCAGAGGAGUUCCAGGUUUUCCAGUUUACGGUGUUGCUAAUCCCACAGUUGAUGGUAUUAAGAAUGUUGUUAGGAAGAUAAGUGACAGUAGAAAUGGGUGUCCAAUUUUAUGGCACAAUAUGAGAGAAGAACCAGUUAUCUAUAUAAAUGGGAAACCUUUUGUGCUCCGUGAGGUAGAAAGACCUUACAAAAACAUGUUGGAAUACAGUGUAAGUGUGGGUGAAGUGGUAUUAAUUUUUAAUAAACAAUACAUCCUCUUUUUAAUCCUGUGGGAAUACAAUUUUCGUCACUUCAUUUGUGAGUUGUGAUAUUUAGUAGUUUUAUUUUACUAUAAUUGACUUUACAGGGAAUUGAUUGUGAAAGAGUAGAGAAAAUGGAAGCUCGACUGAAAGAUGACAUUUUACGGGAAGCAUGUCAAUAUGAGGGUUCUAUAAUGGUAAUCAAUGAAACUGAAAAUAAUGAGAUUGUUGAAGUUUGGGAACAUGUUGAUUCUGAAGCUGUUCAAACCCCACUUGAAGUAUAUAAGCAUCUAGAAGCUGAAGGUUUUCCAAUUAAAUAUGCACGUGUUCCUAUCACUGAUGGUAAGGCUCCAAAAAGUUCGGAUUUUGACAGAAUGGCAGUCAAUAUUUGCUCAGCUUCAAAGGAUGCGGCUUUUGUUUUUAAUUGCCAGGUAGAAUUUCAUUAUAAUACACUAAUACAGAUGCACUUGUGUUUUGAUUCAUUUUUAAUCACAGCCAUUUCCAUUUUGGCUACUUUUUAAUUGUGACCUUUCUCUCUCUUUACAGAUGGGGAGGGGGAGAACUACUACAGGUACUGUUAUUGCUUGUCUUUUGAAGCAUCGGAUUGAUUACGGAAGACCAUUUAAAAUGGUUGACAAGGAUGUCUUCCUUGGAAAUUUAGAAGAAUCAUCGAGUGACGAUGAAGAUAUCUUAGAUAGUCCUACAUCAAAGAAAACUCCACCUGCUUUUGGAAUUCAUGACAUUCUUUUACUGAGGAAGAUAACCAGAAUGUUUGAUAAUGGGGUUGAAUGCAGAGAAGUACUAGAUGCUGUAAUUGAUAAGUGUUCAGUCUUGCAAAAUAUACGUGAAGCUGUUCUUCAUUACAGAAGGCAGUUGAAACAACAGCAUGUAGAACCGAGAGUAAAGAGAUUCGUUCUAAAUCGUGGUGCAGAGUAUUUGGAGAGGUACCUGCGUUUGAUUGCGUUUUCCGCAUAUCUUGGCAGUGAGGCGUUUGAUGGUUUUUGUGGGCAAGGUGAAAGUGCAAUAGCAUUUAAAACAUGGUUGUAUCAGAGACCAGAUCUCCAAGCUACAAAGUGGAGUGUACGUUUACGACCUGGUCGUUUUUUCACUGAUCCAGUAAUGUUUCCUUCUUCUUCUAUUAGUUAUCGCUGUUUUUCUCCAUUGUUGUCAUUUUUUUCCAAGAGAUGCAUAUAUAUAUAAUUGUAUAUAUCAUUGUCUUUGACAUCAAAUUUUCAUUUAACAGGGUUCAAAUCCAAGAGUACAUGUAUUCGAGCAUGAUGACAUUAUUACAGAGGCUGUAGUAAAAGCUCGCAAUGGUUCUGUUCUGGGUAAAGGAUCAAUAUUAAAAAUGUAUUUUUUUCCUGGACAGAGAACAUCUGAUUCCAUGCAUAUUAUUGGUGCACCCCAUGUUUACAAGGUAUUUGAGCAAAAAUAUUCUGUACAUUUCAUUUGCGUGAAUAUGAAAUCAUGCAAUUUCUCUAGUAGUAAUAUGAAUAUCUAGUAUUCAAAGAGAUUCUUUAUUUGAAACAAAACCAAUUACCUCAAUCAUUGGACAUUGUUUUUUUUGGUUGUUUCUAAGUUUCCAAUGGAUACUUUUUUGCUUAAUGUCAAUUCAACAGAAGUUUUUUUUUGUUCUUAGUUCUUAUAUUUACAGUUUACUCUCAGGUAUUCAGUAUUGGAUUUUUUUACAUGCAAAGUAAUGCCAUUUUCUCUGUAUAAUCUCUUUUUUCUUAAACUAUUAACAGGCAGAUAGUUAUCCAGUGUAUAGCAUGUCUACUCCAACAAUUGAUGGUGCCAAGGAAAUGUUAUCACAUUUGGGUGCCAAUUCUACAGAAAACGAAAGAACUUCCCCGAAAGUAAUAGUGACUGAUUUGAGAGAAGAAGCAGUUGUCUAUGUAAAUGGAACACCUUUUGUUCUUAGAGAGCUAGAUCAGCCUGUUGAUACUCUCAAACAUGUAGGAAUCAUUGGAGAAAUGGUGGGUAUUUCUUUUGGAAAAGGGUACAGUUUUGGAAACCGAUGUUGAAAAUUUGUUAAUUUGUCAGGUGGAAAACAUGGAAGCAAGGAUGAAAGAUGAUAUUCUCUCUGAAAUCAAACAAUCUGGUGGCAGAAUAUUGUUGCAUCGUGAGGAAUUUAAUCCAGUAAGCGAACAUUCUACGGUAAUAGGUUAUUGGGAGAAUGUUCCAGAGGAUGGUGUGAAAACACCUGCAGAAGUAUAUAAUAAUCUUAAAGAUGAAGGUUACAACUGUCAGUAUAGAAGAAUACCUCUGACAAGAGAACGGGAAGCAUUAGCCAGGGAUGUUGAGGCAAUUCAGCGUUGUAAGGACUUGUAAGUUUCGCUAUUUAGUACUUUUAUAACUCAUAAGCUAUGUCCUGUUUUAUCCAUCGUGCAUUUCUACAUUUUGUGAUCCAAUUUUACUUGAGGUGGUUUCUUCUACAGAUCUGCUGGAUGCUACCUUUUUGUUUCCCACACAGGAUUCGGGGGUGUUGGUUAUGCUAUGGCUAUUACUUGUCUUGGUCUUAAUGCUGCUGAUAGAAAUCUCAUGGCAAAGACAUCAUCAGGAAAAUCUAGUGGAACAGAUGAUUUUUCGUCGGUGGCUGUGCAUUCAGAAUCACCAUCAUCUCAAUUUUCUGAUGAUGAAGCACUUAAACAGGGUGAAUACCGGGACAUACUUAACCUCACCAGAGUCCUCUUACAUGGACCGAAAAGCAAGGUGGAUGUUGAUGCAGUUUUAGAAAGGUAUUUUGUCCAUAAAGAAAUAAUUGAAAUAUUAAAACAAAAUUGAAAUAUUCUUACUUGGAUUUUUUUGUAUGCAAAUGAACAGAUGUUCUGGUGCUGGAAAUAUACGUCAUGACAUAUUGCAUUACAAAAAGAAAUUUGAGAAAUGUGGUACUGGUGAUGACGAGACCCGUUCCACUCUUCUGGAUAUGGGCAUUAAAGCUCUAAGGUUUGUUGUACUUUUGUUGUACGAAAAUCAAAUGGAUAUUUCUAUUUCAUUAAUCAUUAGAAGAGAAAAAUCAAUAACCAAAUGCGUGUCGUUUAAAUAACUCUUAUUUGGACCUUGCAGGCGAUACUUUUUAUUGAUCACCUUCAGGUCUUACCUCUUCUCCGCCAAUCCCUUGGAAAUUGGAUUUGCAUCAUGGAUGAAAGCACGACCUGAGCUACGUCACCUUUGUGAUAAUUUGAGAUUCGACAGAUA